AACUCUGUUACCAUGAUCUUAAAAAAAUCCCAUCAUUUAAAGCAGAGUUUAGCUCCAGCCCUAAUUAAACACACCUGAACUUGCUAAUUAAGGUCUUACUAGGCAUGCUAGAAACUUGAUGUGUGUUGGGGCAAGUUGGAGCUAAACUCUUCAGGACACCGGCCCUCCAGGACCGAGUUUGGAGACCCCUGAUUUAAAGGAAGGUCACCAAAAAAGUAACAUUUAUUAUUUGUUUGAGAAAGAAUACUAGGCUGUUUUUUAAUACAAUUCAAAUAUAUUUUAAUUUCACUUUUAAAUACAUAUCAUGACACAUUACUUGUAAUAGGCUCAUAUUUAACUGUAUUUUCCACAAGCCUUUCAACAUUGUAUUAUUUGAAUGCAUCAUCAAAAAAAUCAAAAAAAUGCUUAAAAUCCCUAUUUAUUUAAUUGUUUAUGUGCCUAAAUUCAAACAAGCUCAACCUACCACAUUAUGCGCGAAAACAAACCUCAUUGGCUUUUGUGGAAGCUCAGGCAUGUUUGCUUGGCACUUGUUACAAAACCUGAUUGGUUCUGGAGCCCCACAAAAGCACGUCUGAGCUUCCGUUUACCAGUUCUGCUGUGGGUGUGUAUGUGCGUCGAUGGAUGUGAAUAAAAGUCUAAAUUAAAGCUGUUAAGUCAUAUAGAGUGAUCAUGUCUCUUCAGAGAACUUGGAAGAAACCACUCGAUUCGUAUGGAUUAUUUCUGCGAUGUUUUUGUCGGUGAUGACCUUUUUGAAACGUGAACAUUUUCGGUGUCUUUCAGCGGAAGGACAUAAAUCUGUCAGAUUUCAUUAAAAUAUCUCAGUUUUGGUUUUAAAGAUGAACAAAAGUCUCAAACGGUUUGGAACAACAUGAAGGUGAGUACUUGAUUACAGAAUUUAGAACUAAACUGUUUAAUUUAAUAGAACAUUUACAGUUAUAUAUUAUUUUUCCCCAGCUUCUUAAAACGUAUGUGUGUAGAUUUGGAACCUCAGUAUUUCGUGACUCUAGGUAAGUAUUUCAUUUCUGUUACUUGUCAUUACCAGUUGAAAUUUUGUUUGUUUGUUUGUUUGUUUUUUUAAUGGCAGUAACGUAACUACAUUAAAUUUUACCAAUCAGAGCCAAGCUUUUCAAAUCAGCUUUGCAGGUAAUAGUCCAAUAACAAAGCCAUAUGCUGUUGAGAUGGUAACACGUUUUUAGCUGAAAUCAACCUGAUUUCACUUAAUUUUAUUUUCCUGACUAGAAAACCAUGCCAGCUCUUGCCUCCCACAAACAACUUAAUAGGUGUUUAAAAGGUGCGUCUGCUAAGUCGAAGCAGACAGGGACAGAUGAAGAUAUUGCCCGCAGAAAUAUAGAUUAUUGGUGAUCGGCUGCUGUUUCAAUAGAAGACAAAUUGAAAUCAGAUCAGAGAGAUGAGCAAAGAAGAGACUGGUAAGUAUGUUUUAAUCUCAUGUCAGUGAAUCUCACAGGUUUAAUUCUGACUGACAUAUUUCUUAAUAAAGUAACUAUUGGGACUCUAUACUAACUUUGGAUUCAGUACUUCUGUUGUAGAGAUGUUGGACCUCUUCUAUCCUUAUGUUCAAUGUAACACAAGAGUAUUGUGUUGUGACGACAGACGAGAGGAUAAAAACGGAUGCUCAUGGCAAGCUUGAUGAGGAUUUAGUCCAAGCUUUGAAAGACCCUGUGAAAUUUUUAAAGACCACAGUGUCUGAAUUACAAGCCCCCAGAUGUAGAAAAUGCAACACAUUAUACUCAAAGAAAAGUGACCCUGCACUUGAAGAUGAAGUUGGUGAAAUUUCAAAUUUUCUGUUUCUUUGUUUAGUUUUGCCAUUUGCAUUUGUAAAAAAUGCACUUUAUUCACUUCUGCACUUUAUUUUUUUUUUGGUAACUUCUUUGUGUGUGUGUGUGUGUGU
Molecule: long non-coding RNA, 1909 nt
Organism: Cyprinus carpio (common carp)
Lineage: Eukaryota; Metazoa; Chordata; Actinopteri; Cypriniformes; Cyprinidae
Exons: 3
Source: RefSeq, a predicted model, not a curated record